This is a non-coding RNA of Podarcis lilfordi (Lilford's wall lizard), 75 nucleotides long. The record is from the annotation of a GenBank genome assembly. NCBI's taxonomy places the organism in Eukaryota, Metazoa, Chordata, Lepidosauria, Squamata, Lacertidae.
GGAAUUGAUGUGGCCUAGUGGCAGAGCACCUGACUUGCAUGCAGAAGUUCUCAGGUCCAAUCCCUAGCAUCUCCA